Molecule: ribosomal RNA, 253 nt
Filed under: uncultured bacterium
Lineage: Bacteria
Description: partial 16S ribosomal RNA
Rfam family: Bacterial small subunit ribosomal RNA
Source: RNAcentral
UACGAAGGGGGCUAGCGUUGUUCGGAAUUACUGGGCGUAAAGGGCGCGUAGGCGGUUCUUUAAGUCAGGAGUGAAAGCCCUGGGCUCAACCCGGGAAUUGCUCUUGAAACUAAGGAACUCGAGUGUAGGAGAGGUGAGUGGAAUUCCCAGUGUAGAGGUAAAAUUCGUAGAUAUUGGGAGGAACACCGGUGGCGAAGGCGGCUCACUGGCCUAUUACUGACGCUGAGGCGCGAAAGCGUGGGGAGCAAACAGG